RNAcentral lists this ribosomal RNA (740 nucleotides) under uncultured bacterium. Its description in RNAcentral is "bacterial SSU rRNA". It matches the Rfam family "Bacterial small subunit ribosomal RNA", at positions 107 to 862 of the family's 1533-position model. The record is from RNAcentral.
UGAGUAACGCGUGAGCAACCUGUCCCGAACAGGGGGAUAACGAGCCGAAAGGCUCACUAAUACCGCAUGAGACCACAGCAUCGCAUGGUGCAGGGGUCAAAGGAGCAAUCCGGUUCGGGGUGGGCUCGCGUCUGAUUAGCCAGUUGGUGAGGUAACGGCUUACCAAAGCAACGAUCAGUAGCCGACCUGAGAGGGUGAUCGGCCACAUUGGAACUGAGAGACGGUCCAAACUCCUACGGGAGGCAGCAGUGGGGAAUAUUGGGCAAUGGGCGAAAGCCUGACCCAGCAACGCCGCGUGAAGGAAGAAGGUUUUCGGACCGUAAACUUCUAUCCUUGGUGAAGAUAAUGACGGUAGCCAAGAAGGAAGCCCCGGCUAACUACGUGCCAGCAGCCGCGGUAAUACGUAGGGGGCAAGCGUUGUCCGGAAUGAUUGGGCGUAAAGGGCGCGUAGGCGGCCCGGUAAGUCUGAAGUGAAAGUCCUGCUUUUAAGGUGGGAAUUGCUUUGGAUACUGUCGGGCUUGAGUGCAGGAGAGGUAAGCGGAAUUCCCGGCGUAGCGGUGAAAUGCGUAGAGAUCGGGAGGAACACCAGUGGCGAAGGCGGCUUACUGGACUGUAACUGACGCUGAGGCGCGAAAGUGUGGGGAGCAAACAGGAUUAGAUACCCUGGUAGUCCACACUGUAAACGAUGAAUGCUAGGUGUAGGGGGUAUCGACCCCUUCUGUGCCGGAGUAAACACAAUA